Molecule: ribosomal RNA, 478 nt
Filed under: uncultured bacterium
Lineage: Bacteria
Description: partial 16S ribosomal RNA
Rfam family: Bacterial small subunit ribosomal RNA
Source: RNAcentral
GAUGAACGCUGGCGGCGUGCUUAACACAUGCAAGUCGAACGAGAAGUGGAGACGGAAACCUUCGGGCGGAAGACUUUAUUUCGAGUGGCGGACGGGUGAGUAACGCGUGGGUAACCUGCCUCAUACAGGGGGAUAACAGUUGGAAACGACUGUUAAUACCGCAUAAGACCACAGCACCGCAUGGUGCGGGGGUAAAAACUCCGGUGGUAUGAGAUGGACCCGCGUUCGAUUAGCCAGUUGGCGGGGUAACGGCCCACCAAAGCGACGAUCGAUAGCCGAUCUGAGAGGAUGACCGGCCACAUUGGGACUGAGACACGGCCCAAACUCCUACGGGAGGCAGCAGUGGGGAAUAUUGCACCAUGGGGGAAACCCUGAUGCAGCGACGCCGCGUGAGUGAAGAAGUAUUUCGGUAUGUAAAGCUCUAUCAGCAGGGAAGAAAAUGACGGUACCUGAGUAAGAAGCCCCGGCUAACUACGUG